GCAUGUGGAUGAGAAGCCCCUUGUGACCAAUAACUUGCUUUCCCUUCUUCUUCUUGGAACGUGAAUAGUAAAAUUCUUAGAUUUUUAUCAUUGUUUUAAUCUGCUUGCAUUGAUAACCUUGUGGAUGUAAGCUGAUUGAUUUUGCAUAGGGUUACCAUCUCCUUACCCUACUUAGAACUUCUUUUUUCCUUAAAAAAAAAAAUAAAAAUUUUGUUUUUCUAUGAUGUGGUGGGCAUAUUUUAGUUCUCAACCAAAAAUCCAACAGUAUGUGUUGCGUGUGUAUUAUAUAUGAAAAAGUGACAUCAUUUGGCUGGGUGCCUGAUGUUUGUUUUAUUAUAUUUGAAGAUGAUCCAAGAGUGGUCUGAAUCAUCUGAUGCUUGUCCCACUUUUUAGUCUGUGGUAGCAACUAUCCUUUGAAGAACAAGGAUGUAGUAGUGAACAAUCUUUGGGAGUUUUUUAAAAAAAAAAAAAAGGCUCUGCUGGACAUCCUGAUUGGUUGACUUUAUCUGUCACAUUUUGAUGUGGAAAGAUAUUUCUAAUCUAUCUAUAAGUUUUCUGAGACUGAUGCAAUAUAUUUUUAACCUAUUGUCUAACUGCAUUUUGUUAGUUGUUGUAUGAUAUAUCUAUUUUAAAGUGUUGGAUUAUUAGGUAGGUUGUUAAGUUAAAGGCAUGCUUCUUAUCAGUGCAUCUAUGAUGUUACCUCCUUACAAAAUAGAUUUAUUCAAGGUUCUAAUUGACUUCAUGAGUCCAUGAAUGUGGUACCCAUUGGCAGUAUUAAGUUUUGGUUGUCAUUGCAUAAUGCAUAUGGUUAAGUGAGAAUUCUAUUUACUUCUUUGCUUUCCGAUCCAUUAUACAUAUAAAUUGUUCUAACAAUCAAUAUGGAAAACUAAAUUAGGUGGUCUCUCUCUCUCUCUCUCU
RNAcentral lists this unclassified non-coding RNA (918 nucleotides) under Hevea brasiliensis (rubber tree). The record is from RNAcentral. Lineage: Eukaryota; Viridiplantae; Streptophyta; Magnoliopsida; Malpighiales; Euphorbiaceae.